Cyprinus carpio carpio is the source of this 564-nucleotide long non-coding RNA. NCBI's taxonomy places the organism in Eukaryota, Metazoa, Chordata, Actinopteri, Cypriniformes, Cyprinidae. The record is from Ensembl.
CGGACACGCCCUUCAACGAAAACUCAAGAUCUUCGCAAUUUAACAUCGCAAAGGCCUUUAGAUUAGGCAUACCAAAUUUGGUGUUGAUCUGAAUAAAUCUCUAGGAGGAGUUCGUUAAAAUACAAGGCAUGCAAAUGACAAAAAUGAUGCAAAAUUUGCUCAUAAAAUUAAAAAUAACCGACUUCCUGUUGGGUUUCGGAUAUUGCUCCAAGAGUCUUUUUUGUAGGUACUGAUGCCUUACAUAUGUGUGCCAAUUUUCGUGCAUGUACGUGAAACACAGCUCGAGGGCUGUUGAUUUUUUUACGGUAGGUGGCGCUGUCGAGCCAUUUUGCCACACCCUCUUCUGAAACCUAUAUCAGACGUAAAUUUUCACCAGGUCUGACGCGUGUGCAAAGUUUCAGGACUUUUCGAGCAUGUUUAGGCCCUCAAAAAUGCGAUUCAUUUUGGAGAAGAAGAAGAAGAAGAAGAAGAAGAAGAAGAAGAAGAAGAAGAAGAAGAAGAAUAAUUAAAGCUGCAAGCAGCGAUGAACGGGCCCUCGCACCCGGGCUCACCGCCAUUGUGUGG